This 409-nucleotide ribosomal RNA is filed under the name Yersinia ruckeri. Its description in RNAcentral is "bacterial SSU rRNA". It matches the Rfam family "Bacterial small subunit ribosomal RNA", at positions 67 to 479 of the family's 1533-position model. The record is from RNAcentral. Lineage: Bacteria; Pseudomonadati; Pseudomonadota; Gammaproteobacteria; Enterobacterales; Yersiniaceae.
CAGCGGAAAGUAGCUUGCUACUUUGCCGGCGAGCGGCGGACGGGUGAGUAAUGUCUGGGGAUCUGCCUGAUGGAGGGGGAUAACUACUGGAAACGGUAGCUAAUACCGCAUAACCUCGCAAGAGCAAAGUGGGGGACCUUCGGGCCUCACGCCAUCGGAUGAACCCAGAUGGGAUUAGCUAGUAGGUGGGGUAAUGGCUCACCUAGGCGACGAUCCCUAGCUGGUCUGAGAGGAUGACCAGCCACACUGGAACUGAGACACGGUCCAGACUCCUACGGGAGGCAGCAGUGGGGAAUAUUGCACAAUGGGCGCAAGCCUGAUGCAGCCAUGCCGCGUGUGUGAAGAAGGCCUUCGGGUUGUAAAGCACUUUCAGCGAGGAGGAAGGGUUAAGUGUUAAUAGCACUGAACA